This 484-nucleotide ribosomal RNA is filed under the name uncultured bacterium. Its description in RNAcentral is "partial 16S ribosomal RNA". It matches the Rfam family "Bacterial small subunit ribosomal RNA", at positions 30 to 507 of the family's 1533-position model. The record is from RNAcentral.
AUUGAACGCUGGCGGCAGGCCUAACACAUGCCAGUCGAGCGGAUGAAGGGAGCUUGCUCCUGGAUUCAGCGGCGGACGGGUGAGUAAUGCCUAGGAAUCUGCCUGGUAGUGGGGGAUAACGUCCGGAAACGGGCGCUAAUACCGCAUACGUCCUGAGGGAGAAAGUGGGGGAUCUUCGGACCUCACGCUAUCAGAUGAGCCUAGGUCGGAUUAGCUAGUUGGUGGGGUAAAGGCCUACCAAGGCGACGAUCCGUAACCGGUCUGAGAGGAUGAUCAGUCACACUGGAACUGAGACACGGUCCAGACUCCUACGGGAGGCAGCAGUGGGGAAUAUUGGACAAUGGGCGAAAGCCUGAUCCAGCCAUGCCGCGUGUGUGAAGAAGGUCUUCGGAUUGUAAAGCACUUUAAGUUGGGAGGAAGGGCAGUAAGUUAAUACCUUGCUGUUUUGACGUUACCAACAGAAUAAGCACCGGCUAACUUCGUG